RNAcentral lists this transfer RNA (73 nucleotides) under Deltaproteobacteria bacterium CG_4_10_14_0_2_um_filter_43_8. RNAcentral's name for it is "tRNA-Lys". It matches the Rfam family "tRNA". Rfam says of the family: Transfer RNA (tRNA) molecules are approximately 80 nucleotides in length. Their secondary structure includes four short double-helical elements and three loops (D, anti-codon, and T loops). The record is from RNAcentral. RNAcentral also lists the same sequence under 2 other names. Lineage: Bacteria; Deltaproteobacteria.
GAGCCGCUAGCUCAGUCGGUAGAGCAUCGCCCUUUUAAGGCGGUGGCCCUGGGUUCGAGUCCCAGGCGGCUCA